CAGCUUCUAGCAAUGUGCACCACAGUUUCUAACAUUAAUGUGCACCACAGUUUCUAGUAUUAAUGUGCACCACAGUUUCUAGUAUUAAUGUGCACCACAGUUUCUAGCAUUAAUGUGCACCACAGUUUCUAACAUUCAUGUGCACCACAGUUUCUAGCAUUAAUGUGCACCACAGUUUCUAACAUUCAUGUGCACCACAGUUUCUAACAUUAAUGUACACCACAGUUUCCUAUUCUCCUUUAAACUACUACUGCUAGUUUGAUGGUUGUGGCCAUCAAUUGUCCCAAGAACAUUCACCCAUAUUAACAAAGUUAUUUAAUUUCAACAUCACAUUUGUCUAGAAUGGGCUACUUAUCGUAAUGAAGGAUAUCAGUAAAAUGUCUGCAAUGUUACCGGUAUGGUCGGUGUCUACAUUUUUUCAGUUUAUCUUUCCAGCUCUACCCUGUUAAUAAUUUAGCAUAGCAGCCUAGGUAUCCAUUGCAGUUGGAUUGCUAUAUCAUAACAUACCAUAUCUUACACUAUCCUACCAUAACACACCACCCUACCAUAGAAUACCAUAUCCUACCAUACAAUUUUAUACCCUACAAUACUAUAUCAUACCAUACCCUACAUUACAAUAUCCUACCAUACCACAUCCUACCCUACUAUACCAUAUCCUACCAUACUAUACCCUACAAUACCAUAUACUACCAUACCUUAUCCUACCCUACUACCAUAUCCUACCAUACAUCAUUAUACCCUACCCUACAUUAUUAUACCCUACAAUACCAUACCCUACAAUACCAUACCAUACCCUACCAUAUCCUACCAUACGCUACUAUACCAUAUCCUACCAUACAAUACCAUAUCCUACAAUACCAUAUCCUACCAUGCAAUACAAUACCAUAUCCUACCAUACUAUACCCUAUCAUAGCAUUGCCUACCAAACCAUAUCUUCCUAUACCCUACCAUACCAUAUAUCCUACCAUACUAUACCCUACAAUACCAUAUAUCCUACCAUACCAUAUCCUUCCAUACUAUACAGUACCCUACCAUACAAUAGUAUACCAUAACAUAGCCUACCAAACUAUAUCUUCCUAUACCCUCCCAUACCCUACAAUACCAUAUCCUACCAUACAAUACCAUAUCCUACCAUGCCAUAUCCUACCACAUCCUACCAUACUAUGCCCAACCAUACCAUACAUUUCCCUACCAUAACAUACCCUACCAUAACAUACCCUACCAUACCAUAUCCUAACAUGCCAUAUCCUACCAUACUAUACCACAGCCUACCAUACUAUACCAUAGCCUACCAUACUAUACCCUACCAUACAAUACCAUACAGUUCCCUACCAUACUCUACCAUAACAUAGCCUACCAUACUAUAUCCUACCAAACCAUAUCCUACCAAACCAUAUCUUCCUAUACCCUACAAUACCAUAUUACCUAC
Molecule: long non-coding RNA, 1429 nt
Organism: Oncorhynchus tshawytscha (Chinook salmon)
Lineage: Eukaryota; Metazoa; Chordata; Actinopteri; Salmoniformes; Salmonidae
Source: Ensembl